Ostrinia nubilalis (European corn borer) is the source of this 541-nucleotide long non-coding RNA. RefSeq lists it as uncharacterized. The transcript has 3 exons. Lineage: Eukaryota; Metazoa; Arthropoda; Insecta; Lepidoptera; Crambidae. The record is from RefSeq and is a predicted model, not a curated record.
CAAGUGCUGUCACUGUUCGGUUGUGUUUUGUGUUAUCGGGACUUACAAUUAGAUUAAAAUAUCGUUAAUUAUUAAAGAUAAAUAAUCACAGACUGAUUAAAACCAUAUAGUGACAUCGCUUUAGCGUUACAUCAAUUAAAAUGAACGGAUAACAGCUGUGUGACAAGUGAAACAAAUCGAUACAAGUGAUCGGCCACUCGUUAAAAAGUGUUCCAGGGUGUUUUCUGAAAAGCGGUAGUGAUUACUCGCCGUGUGUGUUCAUUACAAUAGCUUGACGUGUUACGAUUUACCGGUGUGGAUACUUUCGUUUUUGUGGCAUGGCUUCGAAGUGAGGUUCUUCGAGUAGGAUAAUUAAAGUGUCUGAAAGUUCAUCGCACAUCAAUGGAUUGUUAGCAGUUGCUUGUGGGGGCGCAUCCAAGAUGAUGGUAGAGACCAUGCUCGAGUCCUCGCAGGACUUCGGCAUGUCGAACGGCGCGCUACCACAAUGGAAGCGGGAGCUGCUGCAGCGCCGCGCCGCGCGCUCCCGCCCCGCGCCGCCCGC